This 206-nucleotide long non-coding RNA is filed under the name Linum usitatissimum (flax). Its description in RNAcentral is "long non-coding RNA (LUSI_LNC000070)". Lineage: Eukaryota; Viridiplantae; Streptophyta; Magnoliopsida; Malpighiales; Linaceae. The record is from RNAcentral.
UAUUGUUCAAUGGGUAAGUAAGUUGGUUACACUCUUCCAGGCCGGAAAAUAAAACACCAGUACUCAUCACUUUUCCUGUUCUGGGGAUGAUUCAUUCAUUUAGGCAAAGCUACACAUCGAGAGUGGGGAUAUCCAACGAAUCAUCGAUCCCGUACUAGGAGACGACUACGAUAUUCAGUCAAUGUGGAAGAUAGCAGAGAAGGCUC